RNAcentral lists this ribosomal RNA (546 nucleotides) under uncultured soil bacterium. Its description in RNAcentral is "bacterial SSU rRNA". It matches the Rfam family "Bacterial small subunit ribosomal RNA", at positions 35 to 575 of the family's 1533-position model. The record is from RNAcentral.
GCUGGCGGCGUGCUUAACACAUGCAAGUCGAACGCGCAGUUUUCUGUAGCAAUACAGGAAGCGGGCGCGUGGCGAACGGGUGCGUAACACGUGGGUAACCUACCCUCAAGUGGGGGAUAACCCGCCGAAAGGCGGGCUAAUACCGCAUAACAUUCCGGCUGCUUCGGCGGCUGGAAUCAAAGCCCGCAAGGGCGCAGGAGGAGGGGCCCGCGGCCGAUUAGCUUGUUGGCGAGGUAACGGCUCACCAAGGCAAUGAUCGGUAGCCGGACUGAGAGGUUGGCCGGCCACACUGGAACUGAGACACGGUCCAGACUCCUACGGGAGGCAGCAGUGGGGAAUCUUGCGCAAUGGGCGAAAGCCUGACGCAGCAACGCCGCGUGGGGGAUGAAGCUUCUCGGAGUGUAAACCCCUUUCGACCCGGACGAAUCCCCGCAAGGGGUUGACGGUACGGGUAGAAGAAGCCCCGGCUAACUACGUGCCAGCAGCCGCGGUAAAACGUAGGGGGCCAGCGUUGCUCGGAAUUACUGGGCGUAAAGGGUCCGUAGG